AGAUGGCUGUUGAUACUUAUGCUGAGGGAAACACAUUUGGCGUUUCAGAGACAGUUUCUUUAAACUGCCUGAAUAUGUUCGUGAGAGUGCCCAAAAAGAUCAGAGACUGGCGUAAGAUUUCUCAGCUUGUAUGACCUGCCACUUCUAGGUUAAGGGCCUACUGAGGACACUUGGCCUACUGAGGACACUUGGCCUACAGGCCCCCAAAAUCCUGGAACUGAAUGUUCCUAGUGAAUCAGCUUAUGUGGUUCCUGCAACAUUUUCUCCUUGGAAGCUGUGCUAAUUACAGUGAAAACCACAGCUCUUGAAGAUCUCACGCUGCAUCAGAUCCUUGUACUGGAGAUGGCAGGGAUUGGAUGUGGGAGUUUCUACAUGCCAGUAUAUACCCUAAUCAAUCACUGACCUAUUGUCCCUCUCUGAUCUAGAAAUCCUGCACCAAAAGAGUUACAGGGACACCAUAUUAUCCCACAAAAAGUUCAUACACAGCUAGAGAAAGCCUGCUCUUGGGACUGAAAGAGAAUGCUAAACUCGGUAAGGGUGCUUCUAGAUGGAAAGCUCCUAGCACCACCCUAACGUUGUUGUUCUGCAGAAAACUACAAACAGAAUUGCCACUGAUUUUCCACACUUUGUGAUGCAUAGCACUUUAUCUGUUCAUACAUCGUGGUAGCCUUGGUAAAUGGCUUACCAUGAACACACAGACCAUUCCUGCUUUGCUGUUCCCCAUUAAUAAGCAAGAGCAACAAACCAUGAUUGGGAAGCCAAGACCAAACCUUUGCUUCAGAUUGUCCAAGGAAACCACAAUUCCUGGUUUAGACAUAACACUAAGUGAAGGAUCACGAUUUGUUGCUCCUGCUCACUAGUAGGGAGGAAUGAAGUGGGAGCAAUCUGCUUGUUCACAGUAAGCCAUUAACCAUGCAAUAGUAACUGAUUAAUGUUCUCCUUGCAGCCGCAAAGAAGAUUAUAGUUGAAAAUUAGGAACAAAACCAGAGCAACUUUAAGUUGGCAUACUUAACACAUGCCAUGUGUGGCAACCAGUUCACAAAGGGCACAAGUGAAGGCACAGUGUUUUGACCUAUAAAGCCCAUGCCAGCCAAUAGGGCUCUGAAGACUGGCUGGGAUUCAAAAUUAUAGUUAUCCUUUGUAUGCUAGAUAAGCUUAGAAAAGGCACAUGGAGCUGCAUUCUCAUUGGUGGAUUCACAAUUUUGGAAUUCCCUCACAACAUAGACUUGCCAGAGUCAGACUUUUGAGGGUUUCUUACACACACACACACACAUGGACUUAUAACCUGGACAUAGAUGCAGUAGAAAUGUAAGAAAGGAAUUGUGUCUGACCAAUAGAAUCAAGGCUGGGGCCUGUUGAGUGGGACUGGUACUCUCUCUCCCUCUCCCUCCCUCUUCCUUGAACAUGCAUUUACUCCAGGGAGGAUGUUUGA
Molecule: long non-coding RNA, 1432 nt
Organism: Rhineura floridana
Lineage: Eukaryota; Metazoa; Chordata; Lepidosauria; Squamata; Rhineuridae
Exons: 3
Source: RefSeq, a predicted model, not a curated record